This 71-nucleotide transfer RNA is filed under the name Candidatus Nanopusillus sp. Its description in RNAcentral is "tRNA-Gly". It matches the Rfam family "tRNA". From Rfam's summary of the family: Transfer RNA (tRNA) molecules are approximately 80 nucleotides in length. The record is from RNAcentral. Lineage: Archaea; Nanobdellati; Nanobdellota; Candidatus Nanoarchaeia; Nanoarchaeales; Nanopusillaceae.
GCGCCGGUAGUCUAGCGGGAGGAUGCGGGCCUGCCACGCCCGUGACCCGGGUUCGAAUCCCGGCCGGCGCA